RNAcentral lists this ribosomal RNA (301 nucleotides) under uncultured bacterium. RNAcentral describes it as "partial 16S ribosomal RNA". It matches the Rfam family "Bacterial small subunit ribosomal RNA", at positions 509 to 809 of the family's 1533-position model. The record is from RNAcentral.
CAGCCGCCGCGGUAAUACGAAGGGUGCAAGCGUUACUCGGAAUUACUGGGCGUAAAGCGUGCGUAGGCGGUUUGGCAAGUUUGGUGUGAAAUCUUCGGGCUCAACUCGAAGUCUGCAUCGAAAACUGCCGGGCUUGAGUAUGGGAGAGGUGAGUGGAAUUUCCGGUGUAGCGGUGAAAUGCGUAGAUAUCGGAAGGAACACCUGUGGCGAAAGCGGCUCACUGGACCAUAACUGACGCUGAUGCACGAAAGCUAGGGGAGCAAACAGGAUUAGAUACCCCGGUAGUCCCUGUCUCUUAUAA